CUACCCUUGGUCAGGUUGAAGUUCAGGUAACACUGAAUGGAGGACCGAACCGACUUACGUUGAAAAGUGAGCGGAUGAACUGAGGGUAGCGGAGAAAUUCCAAUCGAACCUGGAGAUAGCUGGUUCUCUCCGAAAUAGCUUUAGGGCUAGCCUCAAGUGAUGAUUAUUGGAGGUAGAGCACUGUUUGGACGAGGGGCCCCUCUCGGGUUACCGAAUUCAGACAAACUCCGAAUGCCAAUUAAUUUAACUUGGGAGUCAGAACAUGGGUGAUAAGGUCCGUGUUCGAAAGGGAAACAGCCCAGACCACCAGCUAAGGUCCCAAAAUAUAUGUUAAGUGGAAAAGGAUGUGGCGUUGCCCAGACAACUAGGAUGUUGGCUUAGAAGCAGCCAUCAUUUAAAGAGUGCGUAAUAGCUCACUAGUCGAGUGACACUGCGCCGAAAAUGUACCGGGGCUAAACAUAUUACCGAAGCUGUGGAUUGUCCUUUGGACAAUGGUAGGAGAGCGUUCUAAGGGCGUUGAAGCAUGAUCGUAAGGACAUGUGGAGCGCUUAGAAGUGAGAAUGCCGGUGUGAGUAGCGAAAGACGGGUGAGAAUCCCGUCCACCGAUUGACUAAGGUUUCCAGAGGAAGGCUCGUCCGCUCUGGGUUAGUCGGGUCCUAA
RNAcentral lists this ribosomal RNA (660 nucleotides) under Staphylococcus aureus. Its description in RNAcentral is "partial 23S ribosomal RNA". It matches the Rfam family "Bacterial large subunit ribosomal RNA", at positions 730 to 1394 of the family's 2925-position model. Lineage: Bacteria; Bacillati; Bacillota; Bacilli; Caryophanales; Staphylococcaceae. The record is from RNAcentral.